UGCCCUAGUAACGGCGAGUGAAGCGGCAACAGCUCAAAUUUGAAAUCUGGCUUUCGGGCCCGAGUUGUAAUUUGUAGAGGAUGAUUUUGAUGCGGUGCCUUCCGAGUUCCCUGGAACGGGACGCCAUAGAGGGUGAGAGCCCCGUCUGGUUGGAUGCCAAAUCUCUGUAAAUCUCCUUCGACGAGUCGAGUAGUUUGGGAAUGCUGCUCUAAAUGGGAGGUAUAUGUCUUCUAAAGCUAAAUACCGGCCAGAGACCGAUAGCGCACAAGUAGAGUGAUCGAAAGAUGAAAAGCACUUUGAAAAGAGAGUUAAAAAGUACGUGAAAUUGUUGAAAGGGAAGCGUUUAUGACCAGACUUGGGCUUGGUUAAUCAUCUGGGGUUCUCUCCAGUGCACUUUUCCAGCCCAGGCCAGCAUCAGUUUUCGCCGGGGGAUAAAGACUUCGGGAAUGUGGCUCCUCUCGGGGAGUGUUAUAGCCCGUUGUGUAAUACCCUGGUGGGGACUGAGGUUCGCGCUUCUGCAAGGAUGCUGGCGUAAUGGUCAUCAACGACCCGUCUUGAAACACGGACCAAGGAGUCGUCUUCGUAUGCGAGUGUUCGGGUGUCAAACCCCUACGCGUAAUGAAAGUGAACGCAGGUGAGAGCUUCGGCGCAUCAUCGACCGAUCCUGAUGUUCUCGGAUGGAUUUGAGUAAGAGCAUACGGGGCCGGACCCGAAAGAAGGUGAACUAUGCCUGUGUAGGGUGAAGCCAGAGGAAACUCUGGUGGAGGCUCGCAGCGGUUCUGACGUGCAAAUCGAUCGUCAAACAUGGGCAUG
Molecule: ribosomal RNA, 813 nt
Filed under: Fusarium cerealis
Lineage: Eukaryota; Fungi; Ascomycota; Sordariomycetes; Hypocreales; Nectriaceae
Description: eukaryotic LSU rRNA
Rfam family: Eukaryotic large subunit ribosomal RNA
Source: RNAcentral